UUUCCGGUUGAUCCCGCCGGACCUGACUGCUAUCGGGGUGGGGCUAAGCCAUGCGAGUCGGCGCCCCUAGCCACGGUGGGGUGCGGCGCACGGCUCCGUAAAACACGGCUAACCUACCCUUAGGACGGGGAUAACCUCGGGAAACUGAGGCUAAUCCCCGAUAGAUGAGGAACUCUGGAACGCUUCCUCAUCUAAAGGAUCUCAGGACCAUGCUCCUGGGAUUGCCUAAGGAUGGGGCCGUGGCCUAUCAGGUUGACGGUGAGGUAACGGCUCACCGUGCCUAUAACGGGUACGGGCCGUGAGAGCGGGAGCCCGGAGAUGGGCACUGAGACAAGGGCCCAGGCCCUACGGGGCGCAGCAGGCGCGAAACCUCCGCAAUGCGCUAACGCGCGACGGGGUCACCCCGAGUGCCAGUCGCUGAGACUGGCUUUUCCCCAGUGUAAAAAGCUGGGGGAAUAAGCGGGGGGCAAGUUCUGGUGUCAGCCGCCGCGGUAAUACCAGCUCCGCGAGUGGUCGGGGCGUUUAUUGGGCCUAAAGCGUCCGUAGCCAGCUCAGCAAGUUCCUCCUUAAAUCCCAUGGCUUAACCGUGGGGCUGGGAGGAAUACUGCUGGGCUAGGGGGCGGGAGAGGCCGAGGGUAUUCCCGGGGUAGGGGCGAAAUCCUAUAAUCCCGGGAAGACCACCAAUGGCGGAGGCACUCGGCCAGAACGCGCCCGACGGUGAGGGACGAAAGCCAGGGGAGCAAAAGGGAUUAGAGACCCCUGUAGUCCUGGCUGUAAACGAUGCGGGCUAGGUGUUGGUUGAGCUUCGUGCUCAACCAGUGCCGCAGGGAAGCAGUUAAGCCCGCCGCCUGGGGAGUACGGCCGCAAGGCUGAAACUUAAAGGAAUUGGCGGGGGAGCACCACAAGGGGUGGAGGCUGCGGUUCAAUUGGAGUCAACGCCGGA
Molecule: ribosomal RNA, 943 nt
Filed under: uncultured archaeon
Lineage: Archaea
Description: bacterial SSU rRNA
Rfam family: Archaeal small subunit ribosomal RNA
Source: RNAcentral